UACGGAGGUUGCAAGCGUUGUUCGGAAUUACUGGGCGUAAAGGGAGCGCAGGCGGCCUGGUCAGUUUGAAGUGAAAGUCCGGGGCUCAACCCCGGAUCUGCUUUGAAUACUACCAGGCUUGAGUACGUGAGAGGUAAGCGGAAUUCAAGGUGUAGCGGUGAAAUGCGUAGAUAUCUUGAGGAACAUCGAUGGCGAAAGCAGCUUACUGGCACGAAACUGACGCUGAGGCUCGAAAGCGUGGGGAGCGAACGGG
Molecule: ribosomal RNA, 253 nt
Filed under: uncultured bacterium
Lineage: Bacteria
Description: partial 16S ribosomal RNA
Rfam family: Bacterial small subunit ribosomal RNA
Source: RNAcentral